UACGAACUGUGCGAACGUUAUUCGGAAUCACUGGGCUUACAGGGUGCGUAGGCGGCUUGUUAAGUAGGGUGUGAAAGCCCCCGGCUCAACCGGGGAAGUGCACCCGAAACUGCAAAGCUAGAGUCUCGGAGAGGAUCGUGGAAUUCUCGGUGUAGCGGUGAAAUGCGUAGAUAUCUGGAGGAACACCGGUGGCGAAGGCGGCAUCCUGGACCAUUACUGACACUGAAAAGCGAAAGCCAGGGGAGCAAACGGG
RNAcentral lists this ribosomal RNA (253 nucleotides) under uncultured bacterium. Its description in RNAcentral is "partial 16S ribosomal RNA". It matches the Rfam family "Bacterial small subunit ribosomal RNA", at positions 524 to 776 of the family's 1533-position model. The record is from RNAcentral.